GAUGAACGCUGGCGGCGUGCUUAACACAUGCAAGUCGAACGAUGAAGCCCAGCUUGCUUGGUGGAUUAGUGGCGAACUGGUGAGUAACACGUGAGCAACCUGCUCCUGACUCUGGGAUAAGCGCUGGAAACGGCGUCUACUACUGGAUAUGUCCCGUCACCGCAUGGUGUGCGGCUGGAAAGCUUUUUAGGUUGGGGAUGGGCUCGCUGCCUAUCAGAUUGUUGGUGAGGUAAUGGCUCACCAAGGCGAGGACGGGUAGCCGGCCUGAGAGGGUGUCCGGCCACACUGGGACGGAAACAAGACACAGACUACUACGGGAGGCAGCAGUGGAGAAUAUUGCACAAUGGGCGGAAGCCUGAUGCAGCAACGCCGCGUGAGGGAUGACGGCCUUCGGGUUGUAAACCUCUUUUAGCAGGGAAGAAGCGAAAGUGACGGUACCUGCAGAAAAAGCACCGGCUAACUACGUG
RNAcentral lists this ribosomal RNA (467 nucleotides) under uncultured bacterium. RNAcentral's name for it is "partial 16S ribosomal RNA". It matches the Rfam family "Bacterial small subunit ribosomal RNA", at positions 28 to 507 of the family's 1533-position model. The record is from RNAcentral.